Molecule: ribosomal RNA, 845 nt
Filed under: uncultured bacterium
Lineage: Bacteria
Description: bacterial SSU rRNA
Rfam family: Bacterial small subunit ribosomal RNA
Source: RNAcentral
CAGGACGAACGCUGGCGGCGUGCUUAACACAUGCAAGUCGAGCGAUGAAGUUUCUUCGGAAAUGGAUUAGCGGCGAACGGGUGAGGAACACGUGAAGAAUCUGCCCUCCACUUUGGGAUAACACCGGGAAACCGGUGCUAAUACCGAAUAUUGAAACAUAAGUGGCAUCACUGAGUUUUUAAAGAAUUUCGGUGGAGGAUGACUUCGCGGCCUAUCAGCUAGUUGGUGAGGUAAUGGCUCACCAAGGCAACGACGGGUAGCCGGCCUGAGAGGGCGACCGGCCACACUGGGACUGAGACACGGCCCAGACUCCAACGGGAGGCAGCAGUGGGGAAUAUUGGGCAAUGGAGGAAACUCUGACCCAGCGACGCCGCGUGCGGGAUGAAGGCCUUCGGGUUGUAAACCGCUUUCAGUAGGGAAGAAGCGAAAGUGACGGUACCUACAAAAGAAGCACCGGCUAACUAUGUGCCAGCAGCCGCGGUAAUACAUAGGGUGCAAGCGUUGUCCGGAAUUAUUGGGCGUAAAGAGCUCGUAGGUCGUUUGCCACGUCGGAUGUGAAAACCUGAGGCUCAACCUCAGGCCUGCAUUCGAUACGAGCAAACUAGAGUUUGGUAGGGGAGACUGGAAUUCCUGGUGUAGCGGUGGAAUGCGCAGAUAUCAGGAGGAACACCAACGGCGAANGCAGGUCUCUGGGCCAAUACUGACACUGANGAGCGAAAGUCUGGGGAGCGAACAGGAUUAGAUACCCUGGUAGUCCAGACCGUAAACGGUGGGCACUAGUUGUGGGAACCUUCCACGGUUUCUGCGACGCAGCUAACGCAUUAAGUGCCCCGCCUGGGGAGUAC